AACACUAGAGUCGGUCGGAAUUGUACAAUGAUUUACCAUGUGUGAUACAAUUUCUGGUCUCAAUUAACAGGAUCGAUUACUAAUUUGUUAUAAGCAGCGAGUAGGCCAUGAAUCAUGCACACAUCACGUCUCGCUUCCACUACAACACAACAGGCAGCAAUGCUCUAGUGGAACUUGAGGCUGGUGAGGACGUUGUUGUUGACGGGGUCGGCGAGGUGGUCGAGCAGGUUCUGGAAGGGGCCGACGCCGGUGACGAGCCCCUGGAUGAAGUACCCGAGGAUGGCGAGCAUGGCGAGCCUGCCGUUCUUGAUCUCCUUGAGCUUGAGCUCCUUCAUCUCCUUCUCGGUCUUUCCGAACCCGAGCGGGUUGAAGAGCGGGCCGCCGGGGUAGGACGGGUCGCCGGAGCCGGCGAGGAACUUCUCGAGGCCGAGGAAGUACUGCUUGCCCAUGGAGCCCGGGUUGUACCAGUCCUGGAGGCGGCGGUGCUCGGCGAAGCCCAUGAGCGCCAUGUUGAAGACGAAGAGCGUGUAGGAGUCGGCCCAGUAGUUGUAGGUGCCCGCCGGCGGGAUGACCCCCGUCUUGAACCACGGCAGCGCCGUCUCCGGCGGGAUGAGGCCCAGCUUGCCGAAGACCUCCGGAGCGAUGGCGCCCGCAGCGCCCAGCAUGGCGAAGCGCCCGUUGAUCACCUCUCCGUAGGCCAGCCACUUGGGCUCGAUGAAGCCGCCGGUGCCCUCCGGGUCGGAGAGGCCCAGCGGGU
RNAcentral lists this long non-coding RNA (757 nucleotides) under Setaria viridis. RNAcentral describes it as "long non-coding RNA (SVIR_LNC004991)". Lineage: Eukaryota; Viridiplantae; Streptophyta; Magnoliopsida; Poales; Poaceae. The record is from RNAcentral.